RNAcentral lists this ribosomal RNA (421 nucleotides) under uncultured eukaryote. RNAcentral's name for it is "SSU rRNA". It matches the Rfam family "Eukaryotic small subunit ribosomal RNA", at positions 567 to 990 of the family's 1831-position model. The record is from RNAcentral.
CCAGCAGCCGCGGUAAUUCCAGCUCCAAUAGCGUAUACUAAAGUUGUUGCAGUUAAAAAGCUCGUAGUUGGAUUUCUGGCGGGGGCGGCUGGCGGCGCCCGCAAGGACGUCUGCAUGGGUUGGCUCCCGUCAUCCUUGGGGAGAGCGGUUCUGGCAUUAAGUUGUUGGGGCCGGGAUCCCUAUCGUUUACUGUGAAAAAAUUAGAGUGUUCAAAGCAGGCUUAGGCCCUGAAUACAUUAGCAUGGAAUAAUAAGAUACGACCUUGGUCUAUUUUGUUGGUUUGCACUCCAAGGUAAUGAUUAAUAGGGAUAGUUGGGGGUAUUCGUAUUCAAUUGUCAGAGGUGAAAUUCUUGGAUUUAUGGAAGACGAACUACUGCGAAAGCAUUUACCAAGGAUGUUUUCAUUAAUCAAGAACGAAAGU